RNAcentral lists this ribosomal RNA (717 nucleotides) under uncultured bacterium. RNAcentral's name for it is "bacterial SSU rRNA". It matches the Rfam family "Bacterial small subunit ribosomal RNA", at positions 68 to 789 of the family's 1533-position model. The record is from RNAcentral.
AGAAUGAGAGCUUCGGCAGGAAUUUUUCUUACCUUUUAAGGCGGACGGGUGAGUAACGUGUGGGCAACCUGCCCUGCUCUGGGGAAUAAUCAUUGGAAACGAUGACUAAUACCGCAUACGGUUCCUGGGAGGCAUCUUCCGGGAAAGAAAGGAUUUAUUCGGUGCAGGAUGGGCCCGCAUCUGAUUAGCUAGUUGGUGAGAUAACAGCCCACCAAGGCGACGAUCAGUAGCCGACCUGAGAGGGUGACCGGCCACAUUGGGACUGAGACACGGCCCAAACUCCUACGGGAGGCAGCAGUGGGGAAUAUUGCACAAUGGGCGAAAGCCUGAUGCAGCAACGCCGCGUGAAGGAAGAAGGGUUUCGGCUCGUAAACUUCUAUCAACAGGGACGAAAGAAAUGACGGUACCUGAAUAAGAAGCCCCGGCUAACUACGUGCCAGCAGCCGCGGUAAUACGUAGGGGGCAAGCGUUAUCCGGAAUUACUGGGUGUAAAGGGUGAGUAGGCGGCAUGGUAAGCCAGAUGUGAAAGCCUUGGGCUUAACCCGAGGAUUGCAUUUGGAACUAUCAAGCUAGAGUACAGGAGAGGAAAGCGGAAUUCCUGGUGUAGCGGUGAAAUGCGUAGAUAUCAGGAGGAACCCGGUGGCGAAGGCGGCCUGCUGGACUGCGACUGACGUUGAGGCCCGAAAGCGUGGGGAGCAAACAGGAUUAGAUACCCUG